AUCCCGCUGAACUUAAGCAUAUCAAUAAGCGGAGGAAAAGAAACCAACAGGGAUUGCCCUAGUAACGGCGAGUGAAGCGGCAACAGCUCAAAUUUGAAAUCUGGCGCAAGCCCGAGUUGUAAUUUGUAGAGGAUGCUUCUGGGCAGCGGCCGGUCUAAGUUCCUUGGAACAGGACGUCAUAGAGGGUGAGAAUCCCGUAUGCGACCGGCUCGCACCCGUCACGUAGCUCCUUCGACGAGUCGAGUUGUUUGGGAAUGCAGCUCUAAAUGGGAGGUAAAUGUCUUCUAAAGCUAAAUACCGGCCAGAGACCGAUAGCGCACAAGUAGAGUGAUCGAAAGAUGAAAAGCACUUUGGAAAGAGAGUUAAAAAGCACGUGAAAUUGUUGAAAGGGAAGGGCAUGCAACCAGACUUGUCGGCGGUGUUCCGCCGGUCUUCUGACCGGUUCACUCGCCGCCGACAGGCCAGCAUCAUCUGGGAGCGCCGGAUAAAGGCGUGGGGAAUGUAGCUCCUCGGAGUGUUAUAGCCCCGCGCACAAUACGGCGCCUCCCGGGUGAGGUCCGCGCUUCGGCUAGGAUGCUGGCGUAAUGGUUGCCUGCCGCCCGUCUUGAAACACGGACCAAGGAGUCUAACAUCUAUGCGAGUGUUCGGGUGUCAAACCCCUACGCGUAAUGAAAGUGAACGGAGGUGGGAACCCUCACGGGUGCACCAUCGACCGAUCCUGAUGUCUUCGGAUGGAUUUGAGUAAGAGCAUAGCUGUUGGGACCCGAAAGAUGGUGAACUAUGCCUGAAUAGGGUGAAGCCAGAGGAAACUCUGGUGGAGGCUCGCAGCGGUUCUGACGUGCAAAUCGAUCGUCAAAUUUGGGUAUAGGGGCGAAAGACUAAUCGAACCAUCUAGUAGCUGGUUCCUGCCGA
Molecule: ribosomal RNA, 912 nt
Filed under: Pseudotaeniolina globosa
Lineage: Eukaryota; Fungi; Ascomycota; Dothideomycetes; Capnodiales
Description: LSU rRNA
Rfam family: Eukaryotic large subunit ribosomal RNA
Source: RNAcentral